This 316-nucleotide long non-coding RNA is filed under the name Equus asinus (donkey). Its description in RNAcentral is "lncRNA (ENSEASG00005027934.1)". Lineage: Eukaryota; Metazoa; Chordata; Mammalia; Perissodactyla; Equidae. The record is from RNAcentral.
UGAAGUCUCAGUGCUGGGAGCCAGCCCUGGGCAAACAGGCGGCUGGAGAGUAAGUCACCUCCCUCCUCUUCUCCUCGCAGAGCUGUAUGCCCAUUACCUGAGGGGACGGAAUCCAAGCAUGGGUCAACAAUAAGGCAACAGCCAAGGAAGACUUCACACAGUAGGGACGUUUAGUUGAGUCUUAAAAGAGCUCCCCUGAGACCAGGCUUUCACCUGAGAGAGGAAACGAAAGAAAGAUGUCCUCUUGGAGGAAGGCAGUGAGGAGUGUCAUAGGUCACUUUCUGGGAUGCGCAGGAUCAGAUAACAGACACUCAGC